UUGAAAAGCCCCUUAAGUUAUGAAUUCAAAUUUGCCCCGUGCCCUAGCUUCUUGCAACGCCGAUCCUCUUCCCUAGCCCUCUCCCUCUCGCGACUCACAUCCUUCACCGAGCUCAGCCGACAUCUUCCUUGUCCCGCGCACAAGCACCACGCGGCCGCCAACCUCUUCUUCCCUCACGCGAGCCACACGACCGGCAGUCUCCACUUUUCUGCGAGAGCCUAGCAGCCAUCGGCUCUCGAGCGAGCACCACACAACCGGCCCUCUCACGCGAGCACCCUAGCCGCGACUCUUCUCCCUCGCACGAGCACCACAGAUCGCAGCCGCCGGCCACCCCUCGCGCCAACACCAGAAACGAGCCCGGCCGCUGGUCUCCUCCCUCGCGCGCGAGCAUCGCAGCAGCUGGAGAUUUUGGUCUUGCUCCCUUGCCCGAGCACCCCACAGCUGGCGUUUUCCUCUCCUCGCGCGAGCAUCCAACCCCUUUCUUCCUUCUCCCUCAUGCGAGCAGCAAGGCCGCUGAUCCUCGUCUCUUCGAGCUGUGCCCUAGCUGAUCCGAGAUUCGGAUUGGAUGUGAUCUUUUGGAUCUUGUUAAAGAUGGUGGACACGAGCUACGUAUAAAGACGGGUAACAGAUAGAUGAGUCAUGGAUGCUUGAAGAGAUGCCGGCUGCCAGUCCUGGGUCUUACG
Long non-coding RNA from Zingiber officinale, 683 nucleotides. RefSeq lists it as uncharacterized. The transcript is spliced from 3 exons. The record is from RefSeq and is a predicted model, not a curated record. NCBI's taxonomy places the organism in Eukaryota, Viridiplantae, Streptophyta, Magnoliopsida, Zingiberales, Zingiberaceae.